UCGGGAAUAUUGCACAAUGGAGGAAACUCUGAUGCAGUGACGCCGCGUGUAGGAAGAAGGUUUUCGGAUUGUAAACUACUUUAGACAGGGAAGAAUAAUGACAGUACCUGUAGAAUAAGCUCCGGCUAACUACGUGCCAGCAGCCGCGGUAAUACGUAGGGAGCGAGCGUUAUCCGGAUUUAUUGGGGGUAAAGGGUGCGUAGACGGGAGUCUAAGUUAGUUGUGAAAUCCCUCGGCUUAACUGAGGAACUGCAACUAAAACUGGAUUUCUUGAGUGCAGGAGAGGAAAGUGGAAUUCCUAGUGUAGCGGUGAAAUGCGUAGAUAUUACGCAGAACUCCAAUUGCGAAGGCAGCUUGCUAAACUAUAACUGACACUGAGGCACGAAAGCGUGGGUAUCAAACA
This 403-nucleotide ribosomal RNA is filed under the name uncultured bacterium. Its description in RNAcentral is "bacterial SSU rRNA". It matches the Rfam family "Bacterial small subunit ribosomal RNA", at positions 355 to 774 of the family's 1533-position model. The record is from RNAcentral.